CAGUCGCCGCGGGAAAACGGAGGGUGCAAGCGUUAUCCGGAUUCACUGGGUUUAAAGGGUGCGUAGGCGGGCAGGUAAGUCAGUGGUGAAAUCUUCGAGCUUAACUCGGAAACUGCCGUUGAUACUAUCUGUCUUGAAUAACGUUGAGGUGAGCGGAAUAUGUCAUGUAGCGGUGAAAUGCUUAGAUAUGACAUAGAACACCGAUUGCGAAGGCAGCUCACUAAACGCUCAUUGACGCUGAGGCACGAAAGCGUGGGGAUCAAACAGGAUUAGAUACCCGCGUAGUCCCUGUCUCUUAUAC
Molecule: ribosomal RNA, 301 nt
Filed under: uncultured bacterium
Lineage: Bacteria
Description: partial 16S ribosomal RNA
Rfam family: Bacterial small subunit ribosomal RNA
Source: RNAcentral